RNAcentral lists this ribosomal RNA (269 nucleotides) under uncultured bacterium. Its description in RNAcentral is "partial 16S ribosomal RNA". It matches the Rfam family "Bacterial small subunit ribosomal RNA", at positions 524 to 776 of the family's 1533-position model. The record is from RNAcentral.
UACGGAGGGUGCGAGCGUUGUCCGGAAUCACUGGGCGUAAAGGGCGCGUAGGCGGCAUGCCAAGCGUGUGGUGAAAGCCCGGGGCUCAACCCCGGGUCGGCCGUGCGGACUGGCGUGCUCGAGCACUGUAGGGGCGGGUGGAAUUUCGGGUGUAGCGGUGGAAUGCGUAGAGAUCCGGAAGAACACCGGUGGCGAAGGCGGCCCGCUGGGCAGGAAGGCUCGCAAGAGCCGGCUGACGCUGAGGCGCGACAGCGUGGGGAGCAAACAGG